Molecule: ribosomal RNA, 468 nt
Filed under: uncultured bacterium
Lineage: Bacteria
Description: partial 16S ribosomal RNA
Rfam family: Bacterial small subunit ribosomal RNA
Source: RNAcentral
GACGAACGCUGGCGGCGUGCUUAACACAUGCAAGUCGAACGGAAAGGCCCUGCUUUUGUGGGGUGCUCGAGUGGCGACCGGGUGAGUAACACGUGAGUAACCUGCCCUUGACUUUGGGAUAACUUCAGGACACUUGGGCUAAUACCGGAUAGGAGCUCCUGCUGCUUGGUGGGGGUUGGAAAGUUUCGGCGGUUGGGGAUGGACUCGCGGCUUAUCAGCUUGUUGGUGGGGUAGUGGCUUACCAAGGCUUUGACGGGUAGCCGGCCUGAGAGGGUGACCGGCCACGUUGGGACUGAGAUGCGGCCCAGACCCCAACGGGAGGCAGCGGUGGGGAGGGUAGCACAAGGGGCGGAGGCCUGAUGCAGCAACGCCGCGUGCGGUAUGACGGCCUUCGGUUUGUAAACCGCUUUCGCCUGUCACGAAGCGUGAGUGACGGUAAUGGGUAAAGAAGCACCGGCUAACUACGUG